CCCGGCGGCCGGGUUUCCCAGCGCAACCGCCUCACCCGGCGAUGAGGAAUAUGAUGCGUAGCGAGUGGGUGGCAAUGGUGAAGAUGUAGAGGGCGAGCGCAGGCCCGAAGGCAAUGAAGGCGCAGCCGAAGAACACAGCCGCCGUCAUGGCGACCGCCGAAGCCAAUCCAGGCACCCGGCGGCGACGCAGGGGGCGCACGGCGCAGUCAGACCCCGGCCGGGGCGGGGCGAGGAGCUCCCAGUCAGACCAGGCUUCUGGGCUCUGAGCAGCUCAGGGUCUUGCUGGAGACUCUGGGACCGGAGCUGUGACCUCCCCACGCUGACGGUGCCUCCGCAUCACAUUGCCUUUUCUCUCUCUGCCUCUGUCGUCACAUGGCUUUCUUCUGACUGAUCCUGUGCUCCUCUCAUAAGCACCCUUGAGAUAAUAUUGGGUUCAUCUGGAUAACCCAGGAUAAUCUCCCCAUCUCAAGAUCCUUAACUUGACCACAACUUCAACGUCCCUUUUGGCAUAUACGGAAACAUUCACAGAAUGAGGGCAAUAACAUCUUCCUGUACACUGGAUUGUUGCUGAGGCUUUACUGAGAUUCUAUUUGUAAAGUACUGACCCAGAACCCAGUAAAUGGAAUUCAAGAUGCCAUGAGAGUUUGCAACAGUUGGAAGGCCACAAAGAACUUGCUCCUUAUGUUACACUGACAUGCUGUAUCCAAGUCAAGGCUGCUUCUGGAUGUCCCCUUAUGCGAGCUGGGGCCAGAGACGAUAACCUUCACUCUGGAGAUCAGUUUAAAGACAAAUAUUUCUAAUCUAGCUUUGUAAAUGUAUAUGGCUCUAAAUCUUUCUUGAGAACUAAUUUUCUAGAAAACAGAAAUGCAUCCCAUUAAGUAAUCAAAAUGUUCCCAUUCAUAUUUUUUAUGAAACUCUUUCUAGCAGGUGCUUCUUAAGUUAACAAAACUGGAAAAAGAAAAAUUCUCACCAUUUACUGAACCUAACUGCAUGCUAGGUCCUAUGCUAAAAGCUUUAGUACAUGACUUCAUUAAAUCACCUCACAACAAUCCUCUGCAGAAAAGAGGGGACUGAGACCAAGGAAGUUAAAGAAGUGGAUGAAGUCACCCAGACGGCAAGGAGGGUUCACACUCCACUACCCUGCCUCCCUAAAGAUAACUCAUUUCCUCCUCCUCCUCGUCCUCUUCUUCCUCCUUCUCCUUCUCCUUCUUUUUUAAAAAAUAUUUCAGAGUCACCAUUGGGGCAGUAAGACAUAGUGGUUAAAAACAUAGUUUCUGGAACCAGACUGCCUAUAUUCAAAUCUGGGUUAGUUCUACCACUUACUAGCUGUAUGACCUUGAGAAUCUAUUUCACCAUUCAGUGCCUCAGUUACCUCAUUUGGAAAACAGGAAUAGUAACAGAAUGCACCCAAGAAGUUUUGUAAAGAUCAUAUGAGCCAAUCCACAUAAAAUGUUAAUCCACACAAAAACGGGGCCUGGUAUGUAUAGUAAACACUCAAUAAAUGUUAACUCAUCAUUAAAAGUAAGUGCUAUAAUAAUGAAGCCCCCAGGGACUACUGAGAUUUUUUUACAGCUGUCUGGCCCUACCUUGGGUGGACCGGGACUGAUUUUGCACACCCAUA
Long non-coding RNA from Choloepus didactylus (southern two-toed sloth), 1621 nucleotides. RefSeq lists it as uncharacterized. Lineage: Eukaryota; Metazoa; Chordata; Mammalia; Pilosa; Megalonychidae. The transcript is spliced from 3 exons. The record is from RefSeq and is a predicted model, not a curated record.